UAGAUAAGAACACAUGAAGAGAAAUGUU
RNAcentral lists this non-coding RNA (28 nucleotides) under Bombyx mori (domestic silkworm). Lineage: Eukaryota; Metazoa; Arthropoda; Insecta; Lepidoptera; Bombycidae. The record is from RNAcentral.